Molecule: long non-coding RNA, 754 nt
Filed under: Oryctolagus cuniculus (rabbit)
Lineage: Eukaryota; Metazoa; Chordata; Mammalia; Lagomorpha; Leporidae
Description: lncRNA (ENSOCUG00000033046.1)
Source: RNAcentral
AUGCUCAGAUUCUGCUCCAACAAGCCUGGGGCAGGGGUGGGGCAGGAGAAGGGGGGCGGGCACAGGAGAACGUGUGUCCUCGACGCUCACACAAGACUCUUACUGUGUACAGCUGAUGGAUUCAGGAUGGAGACGUGGUCCCGUGAUGGUGUCUGGGAGAUGGUGUCAGCAUGGAGACGUGGUCCCGCGAUGGUAUCUGGGAGAUGGUGUCAGGUAGAGACGUGGUCUCGUGAUGGUGUCUGGGAGAUGGUGUCAGGGCGGAGACAUGGUCCCGUGAUGGUGCCUUGGAGAUGGUGUCAGGGGGGAGACAUGGUCCCUGAAUGGUAUAUGGGAGAUGGUGUCAGGGGGAGACGUGGUCCUCCGAUGGUGCCUCCUGGGAGAUGGUUUCAGGUGGAGACGUGGUCCCGUGAUGGUGCCUGGGAGAUGGUGUCAGGGUGGAGACGUGGUCCCGCGAUGGUGUCUGGAAGAUGGUUUCAGGUGGAGAUGUGGUCCCGUGAUGUUGUCUGGAAGAUGGUGUCAGGUGGAGACCUGGUUCCGCGAAGGUGCCACCUGGGAGAUGGUGUCAGGUGCAGACAUGGUCCCGUGAUGUUGUCUGGGAGAUGGUGUCAGGGUGGAGACAUGGUUCCACGAUGGUGCCACCUGAGAGAUGGUGUCAGGUGCAGACGUGGUCCCAUGAUGGUGUCUGGGAGAUGGUGUCAGGGUGGAGACGUGGUCCCGCGAUGGUGUCUGGAAGAUGGUUCAGGUGGAGAUGUGG